This 293-nucleotide unclassified non-coding RNA is filed under the name uncultured fungus. RNAcentral's name for it is "partial contains 5.8S ribosomal RNA and internal transcribed spacer 2". The stretch from base 1 to 133 matches the Rfam family "5.8S ribosomal RNA", at positions 22 to 154 of the family's 154-position model. The record is from RNAcentral. Lineage: Eukaryota; Fungi.
UGGUUCUGGCAUCGAUGAAGAACGCAGCGAAAUGCGAUAAGUAAUGUGAAUUGCAGAAUUCAGUGAAUCAUCGAAUUUUUGAACGCAUAUUGCGCCCUUUGGUAUUCCGAAGGGCAUGCCUGUUCGAGCGUCAUUUCAACCCUCAAACCUCGGUUUGGUGUUGGGCACUGAUAGCUAUCAUGCCUAAAAUCUAGUGAUGGUGAUCCUAACCAUAAGCGCACAGAGUCGCGAUGGGACCGAUCGGCAUCCACAAUCUAAACGUUGACCUCGGAUCAGGUAGGGAUACCCGCUGA